UUAACUAUUGUAUUGAUACUCAGACUGCAUGAUUAAUCGAGUUUUGAUGUUUCCAUGACGGGCGCUCAGCAGCCGAGGCCACCGGUAGGUUUCCCCAGCGGGCCCGCCAAAGCAACGAAAGGUAGAUAGACACAGGGUUGGAGGUCAGGCCUGAAAGACCCUAUCUCUUUAAUGAUCCUUCCGCAGGUUCACCUACGGAAA
Molecule: unclassified non-coding RNA, 201 nt
Filed under: uncultured fungus
Lineage: Eukaryota; Fungi
Description: sequence contains ITS1
Source: RNAcentral